GGGCCCCGGGUCGGUCCCCCCACCCCGCUGGGCCCCGGGUCGGUCCCCCCACCCCGCUGGGCCCCGGGUCGGUCCAGCUGUUGCUUCCUAUUGUUAAGAUUUUCAGUACUCAGUCGCUUACUCCAGACUUCUAUUUUGAGAGGGUUUGCACUCCUCCUUACAUGAUGUGAGAAUCCCAUUUUUCUUGCUCAAGGAUUGUAAGCAUGCCAGAACACUUCACGUUACGUAGAUCAUAUUUGUCUGAAAUGAUAAUAUCGUACCUAUAGUCUGCUGCAUGCUGAAAAGUAGCCUAUGCCUCAGGCUUGGUGCAGUGACUACUUCGCCGGGGAGGCUGUUCCAGUGUGUGACAACCCUCUCAGUGAAGAACCUCUUCCUGAUGUCCAGCCUAAACCUCCCCUGCCUCAGCUCGACACCAUUCCCACGGGUCCUGUCACUGGUGACUAAAGAGAAUAGAUCGGCGCCUGCCCCUCCACUCCCCCUCGCCCUUCACCAUCUUUGUAGCCCACUGUGGUGGUUUUACUGUGCUAGGCAGCUGAACACCACAACCGCGCUCUCCCUCCCCCUCCUUAGAUGAGGAGGGGAAGAAGUAAAGGAAAGAACAACUCACGGGUUGAGAUAAGGAUGAUCUAAUUAA
This 634-nucleotide long non-coding RNA is filed under the name Anser brachyrhynchus (Pink-footed goose). RNAcentral's name for it is "lncRNA (ENSABRG00000017925.1)". The record is from RNAcentral. Lineage: Eukaryota; Metazoa; Chordata; Aves; Anseriformes; Anatidae.